UCGGGAAUAUUGCGCAAUGGAGGAAACUCUGACGCAGUGACGCCGCGUGCAGGAAGAAGGUUUUAGGAUUGUAAACUGCUUUAGACAGGGAAGAAACAAGACAGUACCUGUAGAAUAAGCUCCGGCUAACUACGUGCCAGCAGCCGCGGUAAUACGUAGGGAGCGAGCGUUAUCCGGAUUUAUUGGGUGUAAAGGGUGCGUAGACGGGAAAAUAAGUUAGUUGUGAAAUCCCUCGGCUUAACUGAGGAACUGCAACUAAAACUGUUUUCUUGAGUGCUGGAGAGGAAAGUGGAAUUCCUAGUGUAGCGGUGAAAUGCGUAGAUAUUAGGAGGAACACCAGUGGCGAAGGCGACUUUCUGGACAGUAACUGACGUUGAGGCACGAAAGUGUGGGGAGCAAACAGGAUUAGAUACCCUGGUA
This 420-nucleotide ribosomal RNA is filed under the name uncultured bacterium. RNAcentral describes it as "bacterial SSU rRNA". It matches the Rfam family "Bacterial small subunit ribosomal RNA", at positions 355 to 792 of the family's 1533-position model. The record is from RNAcentral.